RNAcentral lists this non-coding RNA (103 nucleotides) under unclassified sequences. RNAcentral describes it as "SAM-I-IV sequence". It matches the Rfam family "SAM-I/IV (S-adenosyl methionine) riboswitch aptamer". From Rfam's summary of the family: It is found upstream of a number of genes which code for proteins involved in methionine or cysteine biosynthesis. The record is from Rfam by way of RNAcentral.
UAUAAUCAUUCAGAGAGGACUGACGUCCUGCCAACCUGCAUUUUCCGGCAAGGUGGUUACCUCAUUUGAGGGAUGAGACCGUAGGGUAACCAAAGGAUCAUUG